CUAGAUGGUUUAAUUUUAUUUUUGGCAGUGAAACAAGGCUACUGUCAUGGCUGUUGAAGGAACUGGACCAAGGUGCAACGUGGUGUCCUCCAUGAAACCUGUAGAGAUUAAGACCCAAUGCUCAGGCACUCGCAUGGACCCCAAGAUCUCCUCUGGGGAACCCCCCCUUCUUGGCCUUUAUCAACAACAAUGACCUGUGGGUGGUCAGCAUUGAGACCGGGGAGGAGAGGAGACUCACCUACUGCCAUAAAGGGCUUAGUUUGACUGCUUCACGGGCUACUGAUGGACGCCAGCUGCUCCUGAAG
Oncorhynchus keta (chum salmon) is the source of this 305-nucleotide long non-coding RNA. RefSeq lists it as uncharacterized. The record is from RefSeq and is a predicted model, not a curated record. Lineage: Eukaryota; Metazoa; Chordata; Actinopteri; Salmoniformes; Salmonidae. The transcript is spliced from 3 exons.